CAGUCGAGAAUCUUUCGCAAUGGGCGCAAGCCUGACGAAGCGACGCCGUGUGAGCGAAGAAGGCCUUCGGGUUGUAAAGCUCUUUCGCUAGGGAACAAGAAAGGGGCGUUAAUAACGUCCCGAUUUGAGGGUACUUGGUAAAGAAGCACCGGCUAACUCCGUGCCAGCAGCUGCGGUAAUACGGAGGGUGCAAGCAUUGAUCGGAAUUACUGGGCGUAAAGGGCGCGUAGGCGGCAAAAUAAGUCAGAUGUGAAAUUCCACAGCUCAACUGUGGAGCUGCAUUUGAAACUGUUUAGCUAGAGCGUAAUUAGGGAAAACGGAAUUCCACAUGUAGCGGUGAAAUGCGUAGAUAUGUGGAGGAACACCGGUGGUGAAGACGGUUUUCUGGGUUAUCGCUGACGCUGAGGCGCGAAAGCUAGGGGAGCAAACAGGAUUAGA
This 438-nucleotide ribosomal RNA is filed under the name uncultured bacterium. RNAcentral's name for it is "bacterial SSU rRNA". It matches the Rfam family "Bacterial small subunit ribosomal RNA", at positions 352 to 782 of the family's 1533-position model. The record is from RNAcentral.